Molecule: ribosomal RNA, 425 nt
Filed under: uncultured bacterium
Lineage: Bacteria
Description: bacterial SSU rRNA
Rfam family: Bacterial small subunit ribosomal RNA
Source: RNAcentral
GGGGAAUUGUUCGCAAUGGGCGCAAGCCUGACGACGCAACGCCGCGUGGAGGAUGAAGAUCUUCGGGUCGUAAACUCCUGUCGAGCGGGACGAAUGCCUUGCCGGUGAAUAUCCGGCGAGGGUGACGGUACCGCUAAAGGAAGCCCCGGCUAACUCCGUGCCAGCAGCCGCGGUAAUACGGAGGGUGCAAGCGUUAUCCGGAUUCACUGGGUUUAAAGGGUGCGUAGGUGGGCAGAUAAGUCAGUGGUGAAAUCUCUGGGCUUAACCCGGAAACUGCCAUUGAUACUAUUUGUCUUGAAUUCUCUGGAGGUAAGCGGAAUAUGUCAUGUAGCGGUGAAAUGCUUAGAUAUGACAUAGAACACCCAUUGCGAAGGCAGCUUACUACGGAGACAUUGACACUGAGGCACGAAAGCGUGGGGAUCAAA